GUGGGUUCUUUAUCAGAGUUUAUAUCAACCAAUUAGAGAGUGUGAACCAAACUACCAAAGAAUCCUAAUUUGCACUAGGAUGCCAAAAACUGACGAGACACCAAUUGAUUCGUGUUGCACCGAGGAAGAAGUUGUGCACACGUUUAAAUCCUACUAACACAAGAAACAAGAAGGUGUUAGAUAACGUAAAGGAAGAAUAAAGGUAAACAAAUGAAAACCUACAGCUAA
This 228-nucleotide long non-coding RNA is filed under the name Gossypium barbadense (sea-island cotton). RNAcentral describes it as "long non-coding RNA (GBAR_LNC007221)". Lineage: Eukaryota; Viridiplantae; Streptophyta; Magnoliopsida; Malvales; Malvaceae. The record is from RNAcentral.